Molecule: long non-coding RNA, 2646 nt
Organism: Parus major (Great Tit)
Lineage: Eukaryota; Metazoa; Chordata; Aves; Passeriformes; Paridae
Exons: 4
Source: RefSeq, a predicted model, not a curated record
UUAGGAUGACAGCACCAGUAUGCUCAUCCCCAUAAACAUUCCUCAGCUGAAACAGGAACUACAGGGCAGUGCUAGCCUAUGUAUUAUGAGACCGGAAUAUUUCUGCUUCCAUGUGCAGAUGGAGCACAGAUCACUAGUGUGCUGACAAGCUGAACUCCAAACAAAGAGAUAAGCUACAUAUGUACUGGCAGGAUUCACUGUCAGUGGGAGCACUGAAUGAAAAGCCUGUUCUCCAAAUCAGUCCCCCAUUUAUCUACUAAAUCUUUCCAUUUCAUCCAAUCUAAAGAACCAUCGCUGAUGAAUGUUGCAGCUGAUCCUACUGCUACUCCAGGGUAUGGAAGAAACAUCAUGAAAAAUUAAGAAGAAAGCAAGCAUUUGGAAGUUGUAUUAAUUUAAUGUUGUCUCGGGGACUAGGCAGCCAGCUGAAGUUUCAAUCAGAAGAUCUCCAAGUGCUCAUGACUAAGCCUGCAAGGUGAUAUUAACCAUCAUCUCCAAAUUUAAGUUUUCCAUCAUUACUUUUUUAAAGAAUUACAGUAACGUUCUAGUGUUUAUUCUAAAAGUGGAUAAUGUGCUUAUGAUGAUUAGAUCCAAGAAUUUUGCCUCAAAAGAAAAAGGUAAAAAGCAGCAGGAAAAAGUUGGGAAGUUCAAAAACACCCAUUCAUCCUUAUUCACCUUGAAGAGUCAGACAUAAAUUGUGGGAGGAACUUAUAGAGCUGAGGAGAAGGGAUCAGGGGUUAAACUCAUCCUGGAACUGUCUUAAAGCUCUAUUUUAAUCUCAUUGUUUAUCUUCUCCUGACCAGCUUGUAUGAGAAAAUACAGGAAUGAAAUAAGAAAUGUAAAAGAUCAUCAGAUUUCAGAAUCCUGCUUGCUAGUUAUUGGUUUGCCUUCACACACUCUGGAAACAAAUCUGUGCUGGCAACACUGAUUAAAUGCAGCAGGUAUAAAGUGUAACUGGCAGUUAAAACCUUGUUGAACACUGCAAUGAUACUGCAUUUCUUGACUUGGAAGGUUGUUCAUCCAGCCUGCUCAGCCAGGGUGUUCAUCCGGCCCGUUUACCAUUUAUGAGGCAUUGUGUUAGCAUUGAAUUAGCUUAUAGAUUGUUUUAAUAUGACUUGGAGCAGUAGGGUGUAUAAUUGUUUGAAUGUUUCUUUCCACUGACUGCACAGCAUUACUUCUUUCUGCACCUGAGAAGGCUUUUUCCUCCACCUGAACACUUAACAAGCAAAUUUCCAGAUAUUCAGAAGCAAAUGCAAACAAUUUAGAGCAAAUCUUGUUCCUGCGAUUAGGGCCUCAAAUGAAACCCUACCAAACACAGCCAAUAGAGCUGAGAUUUUAUUUAUUUUAUUUUUUUUUUGGCAACAUUUUCUCUUCUUUUCUAUGUUGUUGUGGUUUUUUUUAUUUGCUUCAGGAAGGCAUUGCAGUGUGACACCCUUCCUUAUCUUAAUUCCUGGUUUUUGAAGAGAAAAAUAGCUUUAAACCCUCAGUACAGUAAAGUCUGUUCAUACAAAGCAUGUGAAGACUCAGUGGAAUACGUAGCUCUUUGUAUCACUUAAUGUUUGUAGCCUUUUGUACCAUUUAACAUUUGUCAGGCUGCCAUUUCUUUUCUGCCACAGGUUUUGGGUGCUGUGUCAUAUUGUUGAUGUUAUGAGUUAAGUUUCCUAUUAAUCCCUAGGUGGACUUUAGCAGUGAAACCCAGGCUUGGGAAUCCCUAUGAAACUGCUUUGAAUUGCCUACACAUAUACAGUGCACACAGUAAUCCCAUCAAUCAUAGUGGUGUCUGUUAAAUGCCAUUAUGUGACUUAAUUAAUGUCUGCCUAGCAUUUUCAGAUUCAUAAGCAGUCAAAAACAUUACCAUGAUGUUCUUAACAGCUGCUAAAUUUCUUUUAUAAGCCAGAAAUAAAACACAGAGUAAAGGUGGUCAGACGGGCUGGCAAUUAAUUGGAAAAUCACCAAAGAGUACAUGGUGAGGGAAGCAAUUACUAUAAAAUGCAGAAAUGAGAAAAUGCAGCCAUUAGGGAUAUCUGGUAUUAAACCUUCAAAGGAAUGUAAAUAUUUAAUUUUUUUUAUAAAAAUUAUUUUUGUAUAAUGCAUUAGCUUGCAAUGAAUGUGGCACAUAUAGCAUGUAAAAGUACUCCUUGGUCAGCAAGGGAGGCAGCACAAUGCCAAACAUUAAACCUUGUGUGAAAAACACGUUUAUACUGAGCUGACUGAUGAGACGACAGCAUGUUUAUGUUGUUCUAAGUAUAAAACACCGUAUGCUUGGAUUUAGAGGCUCUUUUAGAAAGUCAUUCCAUUUAACAGCUUUGAGUUUGGGUCAGCUAAAUGGACGUGCCACAAAUGGACUGGAUGAGUGACAUUACAAGACCAACUAAAGUAAUUAGCAAUAAUGACAAUUACAGAUACUUUUUAUUUAAAGUUUGUGAUAUGCUGAGGCUUGCAAUACUCUUGGAUGAGGCCUAAUGUGAUAGCUCUUUUAUACAUAGGUAGAUGAAGAAGGUUGAAGUAACCUGAUCAAGGGCUCCAUGUAUGAUCCUUACAGAGUCACAGAAGCACAGAAUGGUUUGGGUUGGACAGAACCUACAAGACCAUCUAAGUCCAACCCUCUGCCAUGGGCAGGGACACCUUCCACUGUCCCAGAUUGCUCAG